RNAcentral lists this ribosomal RNA (475 nucleotides) under uncultured organism. RNAcentral describes it as "partial 16S ribosomal RNA". It matches the Rfam family "Bacterial small subunit ribosomal RNA", at positions 335 to 801 of the family's 1533-position model. The record is from RNAcentral.
ACUCCUACGGGAGGCAGCAGUGGGGAAUUUUGGACAAUGGGCGAAAGCCUGAUCCAGCAAUGCCGCGUGAGUGAAGAAGGCCUUCGGGUUGUAAAGCUCUUUUGUCAGGGAAGAAACGGUGAAAGCUAAUAUCUUUUGCUAAUGACGGUACCUGAAGAAUAAGCACCGGCUAACUACGUGCCAGCAGCCGCGGUAAUACGUAGGGUGCAAGCGUUAAUCGGAAUUACUGGGCGUAAAGCGUGCGCAGGCGGUUUUGUAAGUCUGAUGUGAAAUCCCCGGGCUCAACCUGGGAAUUGCAUUGGGGACUGCAAGGCUAGGAUCUGGCAGAGGGGGGUAGAAUUCCACGUGUAGCAGUGAAAUGCGUAGAUAUGUGGAGGAACACCGAUGGCGAAGGCAGCCCCCUGGGUCAAGAUUGACGCUCAUGCACGAAAGCGUGGGGAGCAAACAGGAUUAGAAACCCGAGUAGUCCCAUGAU